This 2849-nucleotide long non-coding RNA is filed under the name Salmo salar (Atlantic salmon). RNAcentral describes it as "lncRNA (ENSSSAG00000097258.1)". Lineage: Eukaryota; Metazoa; Chordata; Actinopteri; Salmoniformes; Salmonidae. The record is from RNAcentral.
GUUGACAUGUCAUCACUUCAUUUUUUUGCGCCUGCGCAUAAAUCUGAGAAACGUGAGUUUUGUCUUCAUUGUUUAUCUCGACAUAGGAUAGGUUGUGUGAAAAUAUUACUGAUGUUUAACGUUAAAAAUGGACCAAAAGAUUAAUGCUAAACAACAUUUGACAUGUUUGAACAAACAUAAAUAGAUUAUUUACUAGGUUUUUUAGCUUUUCGGGCGUGAUUUUACAGUCCCCCACCACGUUUUGUGGGAGCAUAAUGAACACUAAGUACUUGGUGUUAUUUGGACAUAAAUUAUGAACUUUGUCAAAAGAAACCACAUUUGUUCCGGACCUGUGAUGCCUUCCGGACCUGGGAUGCCAGUCUUCUGAUGGAGAUAAUCAAAGGACCUGAGCCCUAGGACCAUGCCUCAGGACUACCUGGUAUGAUGACUCCUUGCUGUCCCCAGUCCACCUGGCCGUGCUGCUGCUCCAGUUUCAACUGUUCUGCCUGCGGCUAUGGAACCCUGACCUGUUCACCGGACGUGCUUGUUGCACCCUCGACAACUACUAUGAUUAUUAUUAUUUGACCAUGCUGGUCAUUUAUGAACAUUUUAACAUUUUAACAUUUUGACCAUGUUCUGUUAUAAUAUCCACCCUGCACAGCCAGAAGAGGACUGGCCACCCCUCAUAGCCUGGUUCCUCUCUAGGUUUCUUCCUAGGUUUUUGGCCUUUCUAGGGAGUUUUUCCUAGGGAGUUUUUCCUAGCCACCGUGCUUCUUUCACAUGCUUUGCUUGCUGUUUGGGGUUUUAGGCUGGGUUUCUGUACAGCACUUUGAGAAUAUCAGCUGAUGUACGAAGGGCUAUAUAAAAAUAAAUUUGAUUUGAUUUGAUUUGCUUUACAGUUAUGGUGAAAAGCCCAAAAUGUCUCGAAGUUAAGUGGGUAAAAAAUUCCUAGAAGUGACACAGGGUUGAUGGAGGGACAUGUCAAAAUGCUGAAUUUUGUCACUUUAGCAAGUCUUUAUUCAUAUUCAAAAUCAGAUUUUUUUUAUUUCUCCAUGUGGUCUAUAUUAAAGGGCAAUUCAGUUAAAAUAACAGGCUUUAAAAUUAUAUAUUGGUUUACAAUUUUAACUUUAUUUUUUUUUAUUUUUUAAAUGCGACACAAACAACAACACAGAGUUACACAUGGAAUAAACAAACGUACAGUCAAUAACACAAUAGAAAAAGUCUAUGAACAGUGUGUGCAAAUGGUGUGAGGAGGUAAAUAGGCCAUAGGAGCGAAGUAAUUACAAUUCAGCAAAUUAACACUGGAGUGAUAGAUGUGCAGAUGAUGUGUCCAAGUUGAAAUACUGGUGUGCAAAAGAGCAAAAAAGUAAAUAAAAACAAUAUGGGGAUGAGGUAGGUAGAUUGGAUGGGCUAUUUACAGAUGGGCUGUCUACAGCUGCAGCGAUCGGAAAGCUGCUCGGAUAGCUGAUGCUUAAAGUUAGUGAGGGAGAUAUAAGUCUCCAACUUCAGCGAUUUUUGCAAUUCGUUCCAGUCAUUGGCAACAGAGAACUGGAAGGAAAGGCGGCCAGUGAGCUAUACCUGCUGGAGCAUGUGCUACGGGGGUGUUGUUAUGGUGACCAGUGACCUGAGAAAAGGAGGAGCUGUCAUGUAUGCUCCUGCUCUUCCCUCCCCUGGCGCUUGAGGGCGCCUGGCUGCCCUGCAUCACGCACUCCUGCCAUCAUCUAUGCACACCUGUCUUCCCUCAUCACGCGCUUCAGCGAUAUUGGACUCACCUGGACUCACUUAUCAUCUGUUUAUUACCUCGCCUAUAUUUUUCAGUUCCCUUGAUCUGUUCUCCGCUGCUGCAUUGAUUGUAUUUUGUCUUUGUUUUCUUGUAUGCUGACGCUGUUCCUGUCUCGUUCCUUAUUAAAUGUUUGACUCCCCGUACCUGCUUCAUCUCUCCAGAGUCAAUUCCAUGUGACAGAAUGCAGCAGCCAUCACACAAAGCAUCGGGGAGUAUUGGCGUUCCAGUUGGUAUUCUCUCUUUGCUCUUGUUUUCCUUAAUAGGAUGUCAGUGGGCAGAGCCAGGAGGGUCGUCAGCGAAAUGGGACACACCUGGGGAAGGGUGUGUCCCAGGAUAAAUGCACCUCUAACCCCAUUCAUUGAGAUUCUCUCCAUGCAGACACUGAUAGAUUUUGGUUGUUGUGUUUUUGUUUGUUUGCGUUGGCACUGUUCAACACCCCUCAUUAUCACAAUUAUGCACGCAACCACUCACUUACACUCCUAAUUACUGACUACACACACCAUUGUUAAUUGUAUUUAGUUUACUUUAGUUAAUAAAUAUAUUUUGUUAUUCCUUAUCUCCAUGUUGUCUCUAUUUUUGUUACGAACUUUGAGCCGGUUCGUGACAAGUGGGGGCUCAUCCAGGAUCUUGAAGGUAUUGUGUUUGGGAGAAAAUGUGGAGUUAAUGUGAACUCUGUAGGUGCUUUGUUUGCAUUUUUUGUUACAGCUUGUUUGAGUUGUAAUGUUUGGUGCCCAGUAUUGGUUACCUUUUGUUUGUUUGGUAAACUUGCCACUGCGGUGGAUAGUUGGUUAUGUGCUGCAUUGGAGAGUACAUUGGUUAGUUUCUAAUCCCUUGCCCAGGCUGGAGACUCUUGAUCUACUCGCUGUUAAGACAUCGGUCCAAGGAGGUGAGUACUAUCGACUGUGUACCUCAGUGGGAGAUUUGGGUAGGGUAGUGACACUUACUACCCGGAGCUAUAGCCUGUUUCCCCUGUUAGGCUUUGCGACGUGAUUCAUUUUGGAAUACGUUGGGCAUGGUUAUUUUGUUUAUUUUUGUGUGGUGUCUGUGGACUGAGCAGUUGUCUCAGGGGCACAUCCGUGGCUUGGGG